RNAcentral lists this ribosomal RNA (253 nucleotides) under uncultured bacterium. RNAcentral's name for it is "partial 16S ribosomal RNA". It matches the Rfam family "Bacterial small subunit ribosomal RNA", at positions 524 to 776 of the family's 1533-position model. The record is from RNAcentral.
UACGGGGGGGGCAAGCGUUGUUCGGAAUUACUGGGCGUAAAGGGGACGUAGGCGGCCAACUAAGUCCGACGUGAAAUCCCAAGGCUUAACCUUGGAACUGCGUCGGAUACUGGAUGGCUUGAAUUCGGGAGAGGGAUGCAGAAUUCCAGGUGUAGCGGUGAAAUGCGUAGAUAUCUGGAGGAAUACCGGUGGCGAAGGCGGCAUCCUGGACCGACAUUGACGCUGAAAGACGAAAGCUAGGGGAGCAAACGGG